Molecule: ribosomal RNA, 1506 nt
Filed under: Triticum aestivum (bread wheat)
Lineage: Eukaryota; Viridiplantae; Streptophyta; Magnoliopsida; Poales; Poaceae
Description: partial small subunit ribosomal RNA
Source: RNAcentral
AUGGCGACUGAACAGCUCAACGUGUUGAAAGCGCUCGACGUUGCCAAGACGCAGCUGUACCAUUUCAAGGCCGUCGUGAUCGCCGGCAUGGGCUUCUUCACGGACGCCUACGACCUCUUCUGCAUCGCCCUCGUCACCAAGCUGCUGGGGCGCAUCUACUACACCGACCCUGCCCUCAACGAGCCUGGCCACCUCCCGGCAAACGUGUCGGCCGCCGUGAACGGCGUGGCCCUAUGCGGCACACUUGCCGGCCAGCUCUUCUUCGGCUGGCUCGGUGACAAGCUCGGCCGCAAGAGCGUCUACGGCUUCACGCUCAUCCUCAUGGUCCUCUGCUCCAUCGCGUCUGGGCUCUCGUUUGGACACGAGGCCAAGGGCGUAAUGGGGACGCUAUGUUUCUUCCGCUUUUGGCUCGGCUUCGGCGUCGGCGGCGAUUAUCCUCUCAGCGCCACCAUCAUGUCGGAGUAUGCUAACAAGAAGACCCGCGGCACCUUUAUCGCCGCCGUGUUUGCCAUGCAGGGGUUUGGCAUCCUAUUUGGUACUAUCGUCACAAUCAUCGUCUCGUCCGCAUUCCGACAUGCAUUCCCUGCACCGCCAUUCUACAUCGACGCCGCGGCGUCCAUCGGCCCGGAGGCCGACUACGUGUGGCGCAUCAUCGUCAUGUUCGGCACCAUCCCGGCUGCCCUGACCUACUACUGGCGCAUGAAGAUGCCCGAAACUGCGCGGUACACGGCACUCAUCGCCGGCAACACGAAGCAAGCCACAUCAGACAUGUCCAAGGUGCUCAACAAGGAGAUCUUAGAGGAGAACGUCCAGGGUGAGCGGGCCACCGCGACCACAAGCACUUGGUUCCUACUCGAUGUGGCCUUCUACAGCCAGAACCUAUUCCAGAAGGACAUCUUCACCAAGAUCGGGUGGAUCCCGCCGGCCAAGACUAUGAAUGCAUUGGAGGAGUUGUACCGCAUCGCCCGCGCCCAAGCGCUCAUCGCGCUCUGUGGCACCGUGCCUGGCUACUGGUUCACCGUCGCCUUCAUCGACAUCAUUGGAAGGUUUUGGAUCCAGCUCAUGGGAUUCACCAUGAUGACCAUUUUCAUGCUAGCAAUCGCCAUACCGUACGACUACUUGGUGAAGCCAGGGCACCACACCGGUUUCGUCGUGCUCUACGGGCUCACUUUCUUCUUCGCCAACUUCGGCCCCAACAGCACAACUUUCAUCGUGCCAGCUGAGAUCUUCCCUGCGAGGCUCCGGUCCACAUGCCACGGUAUCUCUGCCGCUACUGGUAAGGCAGGCGCGAUCAUCGGCGCGUUCGGGUUCCUGUAUGCAUCGCAGGACCAGAAGAAGCCCGACACCGGCUACUCACGGGGAAUUGGCAUGCGCAACUCGCUCUUCGUGCUCGCAGGCACAAACUUCCUGGGCCUGCUCUUUUCCCUGCUGGUGCCGGAGUCCAAGGGCAAGUCGCUCGAGGAGCUCUCCAAGGAGAACGUCGGCGACGAUGGCAUCGAAGCUUAG